ACGUGCUUUUAUGUAGAAUCUACAGCUAUUCAUAAGGUAACUGGUAUACCGUCAUGCAUCAUCAAGUGGCUUUCGAGCAAGGCACCUAAUUUGUUCAGUAAUAUGGGCAUCAUCUUGUUGAUCCAUGCAUGCAACCUAAAUUAACAUAGAUUAAAAAUAGUAUAUUAUGAGAUAGAAUAUUAUGAGGUAAAUAAAUGGUGUUUAUAUGUUCAAAUUAUAAAUUAUAAGGGAGCAUAUAAAACUAACUUGUUUACGAAACCACUCAAGAAAUUUCUGACUAUGAAUCUUUUCAAUCUUAUA
This 300-nucleotide long non-coding RNA is filed under the name Elaeis guineensis (African oil palm). RNAcentral describes it as "long non-coding RNA (EGUI_LNC005088)". Lineage: Eukaryota; Viridiplantae; Streptophyta; Magnoliopsida; Arecales; Arecaceae. The record is from RNAcentral.